CUUUAUCGGAGAGUUUGAUCCUGGCUCAGGACGAACGCUGGCGGCGUGCCUAAUACAUGCAAGUCGAGCGGACAGAUGGGAGCUUGCUCCCUGAUGUUAGCGGCGGACGGGUGAGUAACACGUGGGUAACCUGCCUGUAAGACUGGGAUAACUCCGGGAAACCGGGGCUAAUACCGGAUGGUUGUUUGAACCGCAUGAUUCAGACAUAAAAGGUGGCUUCGGCUAC
This 226-nucleotide ribosomal RNA is filed under the name Bacillus velezensis. RNAcentral describes it as "partial 16S rRNA. Bacterial SSU". It matches the Rfam family "Bacterial small subunit ribosomal RNA", at positions 1 to 221 of the family's 1533-position model. Lineage: Bacteria; Bacillati; Bacillota; Bacilli; Caryophanales; Bacillaceae. The record is from RNAcentral.